Molecule: transfer RNA, 76 nt
Filed under: Marinilabiliales bacterium
Lineage: Bacteria; Pseudomonadati; Bacteroidota; Bacteroidia; Marinilabiliales
Description: tRNA-Thr
Rfam family: tRNA
About the family: Transfer RNA (tRNA) molecules are approximately 80 nucleotides in length. Their secondary structure includes four short double-helical elements and three loops (D, anti-codon, and T loops).
Source: RNAcentral
GCCACUUUAGCUCAGCCGGUAGAGCAGCUCACUCGUAAUGAGCAGGUCGUGGGUUCGAGUCCCAUGAGUGGCUCUA